Molecule: ribosomal RNA, 484 nt
Filed under: uncultured bacterium
Lineage: Bacteria
Description: partial 16S ribosomal RNA
Rfam family: Bacterial small subunit ribosomal RNA
Source: RNAcentral
AUUGAACGCUGGCGGCAGGCCUAACACAUGCAAGUCGAGCGGAUGAAGGGAGCUUGCUCCUGGAUUCAGCGGCGGACGGGUGAGUAAUGCCUAGGAAUCUGCCUGGUAGUGGGGGAUAACGUCCGGAAACGGGCGCUAAUACCGCAUACGUCCUGAGGGAGAAAGUGGGGGAUCUUCGGACCUCACGCUAUCAGAUGAGCCUAGGUCGGAUUAGCUAGUUGGUGGGGUAAAGGCCUACCAAGGCGACGAUCCGUAACUGGUCUGAAAGGAUGAUCAGUCACACUGGAACUGAGACACGGUCCAGACUCCUACGGGAGGCAGCAGUGGGGAAUAUUGGACAAUGGGCGAAAGCCUGAUCCAGCCAUGCCGCGUGUGUGAAGAAGGUCUUCGGAUUGUAAAGCACCUUAAGUUGGGAGGAAGGGCAGUAAGUUAAUACCUUGCUGUUUUGACGUUACCAACAGAAUAAGCACCGGCUAACUUCGUG